This 74-nucleotide transfer RNA is filed under the name bacterium. RNAcentral's name for it is "tRNA-Gly". It matches the Rfam family "tRNA". From Rfam's summary of the family: Transfer RNA (tRNA) molecules are approximately 80 nucleotides in length. Their secondary structure includes four short double-helical elements and three loops (D, anti-codon, and T loops). Further hydrogen bonds mediate the characteristic L-shaped molecular structure. tRNAs have two regions of fundamental functional importance: the anti-codon, which is responsible for specific mRNA codon recognition, and the 3' end, to which the tRNAs corresponding amino acid is attached (by aminoacyl-tRNA synthetases). tRNAs cope with the degeneracy of the genetic code in two manners: having more than one tRNA (with a specific anti-codon) for a particular amino acid; and 'wobble' base-pairing, i.e. permitting non-standard base-pairing at the 3rd anti-codon position. The record is from RNAcentral.
GCGGGAUUGGUACAGUGGCAGUAUGCCACCUUCCCAAGGUGGAGACGCGAGUUCGAUUCUCGUAUCCCGCUCCA